ACACUGGGAAAGACGCUCUUAUCUGCGCCCUCCAAACCACACGCCCCUCGCAGUUGAAAUAAGGGGGUGGCGGCAAAAGGAGGUGGGGGACAGGACCGCCUGGAGGAGAAGGAAGAAGCGCAGGGACACCAGCCAACCCACCCGCCUCCAAUCCGCCAGGUCCUUCUAGGAGCGAGGAACCGAAAGCAGAGCCGAGAACGCGCCUCGUUAGAGGAGAGGGCCCUCCGAGGCGCAAAGGGAGAGGGAGGCGAGAGGCACCGCGGGCUCCAAAACAGGCCGCUAUGGAGGGGAGACGCGGGGAUCAACACAACUUUAAUGAUGGGGAAAAAUGGAGCUGAAGUCUGGAACUGAAAUAAAGAGCUAUUACUCAUCUUUAGGAUAUGACUGUCAAAUGCCCAAAAGAACAAGGGUUCCUGAGGAGGCAGGGGCAAGAUUUGCUGAUGUUUGGGUGCCAAGACCAUUUUGAAUCAAGAUGGACCAAAACAUGACUUUGGCAAAACUUCAUAACAUUGGCUUGACGGGUCCAAACUCACGUAUUACACCAUCCAUUUAUAAAUCACAAUUUAUUUUUGCUUUUUAAGAAUUCCCUGGCAGCAUCAGGCACUCCCCACUUGUGUACCAUAUAUUUUGGAAAGCCGUUUGUUCUCUGGUCUGUCCACUCUGUGGGUCCCGAUGCCAGUUAUCAUCGCCAAACUCAGCAGGAGGGUUCCCGAGGUCGUGGCGGCAGUCGAUACUGGUAUGGCAGACACCAUUUUGAAUCAAGAUGGAAGACUGAAACGUCACUAUGGGGUGACUUCACUCAUUUUUGGCAAAAGGCUUGUGCACCUCUCACUGUAUCACCACCACUCAACACGAGUGUCCCCAAAGUGGAGGCAGUGCUCUUCAUCAAAGUUUGCAUGCAGGGUGCCAUUUUGAAUAAACAUGGCGGACCAAAACAUGACUUUGGUGUGACUUCACCCAAUUUGGUGUGACAGGCCCAAACUGCAGUAGGAAAGAGCUUGCCAAGGCUUUGGGUUGACUGGCUUCAAGUAUUACAGCCGAAAGCUUGUUAAAAUUGUUCAUGUAGUUUGUUUGCUAAAAGCAGAGAAUUUUUAAAAAUUAUUUUUUUGUACACUGUUUGGUAUUUCUAAUAUAUAGCAAUUAAUAAAGUCUGUAAAUAAUAAA
Long non-coding RNA from Podarcis raffonei (Aeolian wall lizard), 1164 nucleotides. RefSeq lists it as uncharacterized. The transcript has 3 exons. NCBI's taxonomy places the organism in Eukaryota, Metazoa, Chordata, Lepidosauria, Squamata, Lacertidae. The record is from RefSeq and is a predicted model, not a curated record.